This is a long non-coding RNA of Neomonachus schauinslandi (Hawaiian monk seal), 339 nucleotides long. RefSeq lists it as uncharacterized. The record is from RefSeq and is a predicted model, not a curated record. The transcript is spliced from 3 exons. NCBI's taxonomy places the organism in Eukaryota, Metazoa, Chordata, Mammalia, Carnivora, Phocidae.
UGGAGAGCGGCCCGGGCUGGAUGGUGUUUGGGCCCAACCGGAUAAGAGAGUCCAAUGCCUCCAGCAGCCGGUGUUUGGCAGGUUGGUGCACAGGGACUGAUUGGUGUGAAAUUCUGGAGCCUGGAUGACUAUCUUUCUUCUGAUAGGCUUGAUGCUGAGAUAAAAUCCUGCCCAGAUAUUUCCCCCAACUCUAGCCCUUGGCUUCUAGUUUCAUUGAGGUAAGGGUGGGGUGGAAGAAGAUUUAGGGAGAGAAAUAGUCUGUCCUUUUGUUAGGGAGUGAAGAUGGAACCCCUGCGUGUCCCAACUACUAUCUGGUAAGAAAUGUGGCUGCUGAGCCUC